RNAcentral lists this ribosomal RNA (481 nucleotides) under Vipera nikolskii. Its description in RNAcentral is "Vipera berus nikolskii partial 16S ribosomal RNA". It matches the Rfam family "Bacterial large subunit ribosomal RNA", at positions 1857 to 2608 of the family's 2925-position model. Lineage: Eukaryota; Metazoa; Chordata; Lepidosauria; Squamata; Viperidae. The record is from RNAcentral.
GCCUGCCCAGUGAUAGUUAAACGGCCGCGGUAUCCUAACCGUGCAAAGGUAGCAUAAUCAUUUGUCCAUUAAUUGUGGACUCGUAUGAAAGGCAAAAUGAGAGCCCGACUGUCUCUUAUAACUAAUCAAUUAAACUGAUCCCCCAGUACAAAAGCUGAGAUACCACCAUAAGACCAGAAGACCCUGUGAAGCUUUAACUAACCUAUUAAACCCAAUAAUAAUUAAUUUCGGUUGGGGCGACCUUGGAACAAAAAAGAACUUCCAAUAUAUGACUUCAUCAUACAAAAGGCAAACAAGCCACAUUAGACCCAGUAUAUCUGAUUAAUGAACCAAGUUACUCCAGGGAUAACAGCGCUAUCUUCUUCAAGAGCCCAUAUCAAAAAGAAGGUUUACGACCUCGAUGUUGGAUCAGGACAUCCUAGUAAUGCAACCGUUACUGAGGGUUCGUUUGUUCAACGAUUAACAGCCCUACGUGAUCUGA